RNAcentral lists this transfer RNA (72 nucleotides) under Ornithorhynchus anatinus (platypus). It matches the Rfam family "tRNA". From Rfam's summary of the family: Transfer RNA (tRNA) molecules are approximately 80 nucleotides in length. Their secondary structure includes four short double-helical elements and three loops (D, anti-codon, and T loops). The record is from Rfam by way of RNAcentral. Lineage: Eukaryota; Metazoa; Chordata; Mammalia; Monotremata; Ornithorhynchidae.
AGCAGCGUGGCUCAGUGGAAAGAGCCCGGGCUUGGGAGUCAGAGGUCAUGGGUUUGAAUCCCGGUGCUGCCA